UGGCGGACGGGUGAGUAACGCGUGGAAAACCUGCCGUAUACUGGGGGAUAACACUUAGAAAUAGGUGCUAAUACCGCAUAAGCGCACAGCUUCGCAUGAAGCGGUGUGAAAAACUCUGGUGGUAUACGAUGGUUCCGCGUCUGAUUAGCUAGUUGGUGGGGUAAUGGCCUACCAAGGCAACGAUCAGUAGCCGGCCUGAGAGGGUGAACGGCCACAUUGGGACAGAGACACGGCCCAAACUCCUACGGAAGGCAGCAG
Molecule: ribosomal RNA, 258 nt
Filed under: uncultured bacterium
Lineage: Bacteria
Description: partial 16S ribosomal RNA
Rfam family: Bacterial small subunit ribosomal RNA
Source: RNAcentral